Molecule: ribosomal RNA, 164 nt
Filed under: Disakisperma dubium
Lineage: Eukaryota; Viridiplantae; Streptophyta; Magnoliopsida; Poales; Poaceae
Description: 5.8S ribosomal RNA
Rfam family: 5.8S ribosomal RNA
About the family: 5.8S ribosomal RNA (5.8S rRNA) is a component of the large subunit of the eukaryotic ribosome. It is transcribed by RNA polymerase I as part of the 45S precursor that also contains 18S and 28S rRNA. Functionally, it is thought that 5.8S rRNA may be involved in ribosome translocation.
Source: RNAcentral
CACAUGACUCUCGGCAACGGAUAUCUCGGCUCUUGCAUCGAUGAAGAACGUAGCAAAAUGCGAUACCUGGUGUGAAUUGCAGAAUCCCGUGAACCAUCGAGUUUUUGAACGCAAGUUGCGCCCAAGGCCGUUUGGUCGAGGGCACGUCUGCCUGGGCGUCACGC